UGGAUGACAUGGAAAGCAGGUACCAGCCUCCUUCAGAGGACGCCUCAGAGCUACCACUGCCUCUUGCUACUAAUGACAAGCUUGGAGCUCUGAAGCCAUGCACUUGGAGAAGAAUCCUAGAGAAUCUUGGGAGAGGAGCAGGAUUAUCAGUCAAGAGCCUCCAGCUAACUAUAUCCAUCUGGCACAAUCAACCGGGUUCUCUGGGUUUCCCACUUUCUCCAGCUCACUUUUAUGUCCACCAAAACAAACCCCCUAGUCAGAGGCAGCAUGAAACACAGCCAUACUGAGCAUUCCUUUCAGAAUGAGAACAUAAGGCGCAUUUACGGCUGGGGUUUCCAGCCCUCCAGCCGGCGGAGACACGCCCAGGCUCUGGCGGCAACCCGGCUCCCUGGCUACCCUGGGAGGAAAAGCUUGCUCUCCCCCAGCCUCACCCACAGCACUGGGCCCAUUUACACAGUCUCCGGGGACCCAUUUUGUAACCAGAGCAUUCUCAGCUAAACCCAUUCAGGGCAUGAAGCCAGAGGACUCCUGUAACCACCUCCAAAUGGCUUCCAUCUUGUCCUCCCUCCAUAAUCGGGAAUACACUGCCAGGUUUGGCUAGUCUUCCAGACAGGUCAUGGGUCUUCCACAGAAACUCAGUGGCGCUCCAUUACCAAGACCUGCUCAAGUGGCAGGGCACUGGGUCACAGAAUUCUUUAUAGAACACUCAAUAGGCUGUUUUUUUUUUUUCUACUUGACUUUGUGUGUUUGGCAUGCUUAUGUGCAUGAGUUGAGAGUGUGCAGGAGCGUGUGUGUGUGCAUGUGGACAGCCAAAGUUGAAAUCUGGGAGUCUUCUUCAAUGGCGCUUUAUUUAUUUAGGCAAGGUCUCUCAGUAAACUCAAUUCUAGCUAGUUUAGCUACGAGUUAGCCAGUCCUAAGAUCCAGCCUCUCGUAGGUGACCCCUAUAUCUGCCAGACUUUUACAUGCCGAACUCUGGUUCUCAUGCUUACGUGGGAAGCAUUUUAUUGGGCGAACCAUAAGCUCUGCCCGAUAUGCUGACAUUGAAUUAUAAAACAUUCAAACAAUAGCCCCCAACUAGCAAAGAGGAUUUUUUAAGUAUUCAAAAAAAAAUUACCCGAUGUGUCCCUAAGACGAAACAAAAGCUAAGGAUCGGCCUGCUGAGCUCCUAGUUUAUUCUCUUGGGUAUCUGCUCACAUUGCCUAAAAAACAAAGGGUACAGACAACAAAGUUUUAGCAAAGGACGCGUAAUGGUUUAAUGCAGGCACGUCUCUACGAACUGACUGUUCCUCUAUGCUGUACUUUCAUGGAGCCAUUAUGAGAGCAAAGUUUGAGAAACAGAGAGUUUGGAGGGAAAGGGCCUAAACUUGUCAAUGACCCCUACAAACUGGCUUCCUUAACCCACACUUCCCAAACUCCACCUCUCUGCCCCUCACUGCCUCAAGUACCCACAGGAACUCUGAGCUCACUUUCCUCUUCCACCCUACAUGCUAAUGCAAAGCCUCCAGCCCAGGAAGAAUGGCCAUGUCUGGCCCACAGGGGAGUAUCCAACAGCAGUGCCAAGUGUUUGCUCUCUGCUUUUGAAUCUCCUCUCUUCUGAGUAAAAUUCAUGAGGGUGGGGACCAACCAUGCCUUCAACAGCCCAUGACUCAGAGACUAGCACAAUGUCUUCUCUGACAAGCAAAACUAAAGCUACUCCAGGUUAUGGCUCCCACACAUCACAACUGCCGAGCCAUCAAACAUUGCAAAAAUGUUCCCUGCAGCAUUGUUGAGCACUGCGCACGCUGGGAGCACUGUCACCACUGGGCCUUGGGCUGUGUGAGGGAUGGGGCUGUCCUGCAAAAGAAAAAGGCUGCCAGAUUCCCAAGAGCCGUGGGCAGCCAACCCAACCUGGGAUGGAAGUACACUGGGUAGUAGGCACAGUGCCCUCACCCUCCUCCAGUUCCCAGAGGUCCUAGAGCCAGGGCAAAGAGAGCCAUGGGAAUUGAUGGCUCAGGUCCAGAACAGUGAAGAUAAAAGGGACGCCUCAAACCAGGCCUCUUGGAUUGCGUUUCUACCUUAACUGAUCUCCACAGCUGGAUAUUUGUGCGUACAUAUUCGUAUGUGUGUACAGAUGUGUGUGUUUGUGGAGGCAAGCAACUGUCCUUGGUUGUCUUCCUCUCACUCCCCUUCCACUUUAUUUUUUGAGGCACUGUAUUUUUUGUCGCUCAGCAGUUAAACUAGCUAGCUACCAGGCCCCAUAGAUGCACCUAUGCCCAUCUCGGCAUCUCAGUGUGCCGAGACAUUUUACAAGAUACUAGUUACAGACUCAGAGCCUGACUGUGCAGCCCUGAACCACCUUCCCAGCCCACAUAACUGACUUUCUAAGUACACUCCAAGUUGGCACUCAAAGGGACUUUCAGUUCUAUAAACUUCUGGAGGCACUAUCCCAGAACAUUGCCUCUCCUUUCUACCACAAUGCCUCACUGGUGGCAGGAAUCACCUAGUGCUCUUUGUCUGAGGCUGAUGACUGUGUAGACCUGGUCUCCCUGUUCCUCGAGGAAGACUAAGAUUUAGUGACAUCACCAUUCUGGAGCCAGACUGCUCAGUUUCAAAUCUGGGCUCCAGUUAAGUUGUCUGAAUUUGGAGAAGUUAUAUAACUUCACGGAGGUUCUAACUAUUGCUGUAAACCACCAAAAGCAGAUUAUAAUUUAUGGAUCAUUAUGGAGACUGGAGGCGUAGCAAAUGCUAGGACAGUGCCUGGCUAUAUGCACAGCAAGUAUGAUAUAGUCAAGGGCUGCAGAACACCUACCUAAGUGACAGCGGUCCUGUAAGAUGGCAAUGUUGCUGCCAAUUUCCUAUUGUGUGGGAAUACCAUGGCACAAUGUACUUAUGGGAUAGGUGUGAACAAGUCAACUGUGCUGCAGAACACACACACACACACACACACACACACACACACACACACACACUAGGUUUGUACACUCAAUGACAGCUGGAGAUCAAAAUGGACACUUCUCAGCCCUUACCACCCUGGUAAGUGACUUGGCUAUGCUAAAUGCCAUGGUGAUGACAAAUGACCAGGAGCAUCUAGUAAAUGCUGGUUCUUGGAGCUAGAAGAGGGCCAUGCCGACAGGAAGAAUCAAGUGGGAGAAAGGAUAAUCAUUCAAUUCAGAGGAAAGGUGUUCCCUGGGGUACUCCCUGGUCAGCCUCUCUCAGUGGGGUGCCCCUACAGUCAUCCCAUCUGUCAUUGCUCCUACCUUGCAGUUGAGAUAGAAGGUAAAUGGAGAAGUCCUUAAAAAGCACCUCACUUAGAUGAGGUGGCCAGAAGCCACGUAUGCCCAGACAGUUCAAGUUAUGGUUUCCUUUCCUCUGUGCCUCACUACUUCAGCUGGGGCAACCAGAGGCACGAGAGGCCCCACAACUCUGGUAUUCUAGGAUGCCAUGGUACUGACGUGUCUAUGACUUAUGAAGAGCUAUCACUUUGCUGCUGUCCUCUACCUCACUACAAGGCUGAAGUGCCACAGCUGCCAAAAGUGCUUUGCAGCAAGUGAUUCCGAGUCAAAACAGGCUGAGUUAGGCAGCAGAGGGAGGCCAGGCUGUCCACAUGCGGUCUAAGGGUCCCAGCACCCCUUGCCUCACUGCUCACUCCCUAUCUCUUCCUCCCAGUGCUGCAUGCUCAAUGCAGGGCACCAGCUCAGUCUCUGAAGGUGUGCUUCCAGUCAGCAGUACUGAUUCUACUUUGCAGAGGACUCUCCUGCAGGCCUGGCUGUGGCCUCACCUGCCUCUCUGAGACCUGCUCUCAUCCUGACUUGUACUCUUGGUACAUCAGAACCCUGGGCAGGAGUGUAAGAGAGGACUUACAUGUGUGGAGGAUGCAGGAGUUCACUUGCUUUUUCCCACACAGAGCAAACAACCAGGAGAAUAAAGGAAAGGACACAAUAUUUUCUGAGCGGAAUUUUAAACAUCCACAGUAGUACCAAACUGACUGCAUAAGAGGUUACACUGUGUCAGAGUUGUCCCUCCCUUUCCCCACAUUCUGCAGGUGCAAAGUCCUAUAAACUGACAAACCCUAAAAUGGACAGCUAAAAUGUAAGUUAAGCCAGCCGGAUGCUUCCAGCAUGGCCAGGCUCAAGUCAGGUCUACUUCAUCACGUUAGCUGUUUUCCUGGAACAUUCACUUUUAAGAUCAAGCUUCUGUAGCUCUGAAUUUGCCAAGCCAGUUCUUAACUUUUGGGAUAUGACAUUCAACAAUUAUAUUAGGGUGACCAGGCUAUGAGGCUUUCCAAGCUUACAAUCUUGUCUAAAACAAAUAACACCCAUGAAUAAGACAGGCGAAGAGAUAAGUGAUGGCGAUGGUGAUGAUUACAGUGAUGAGCUCUGAGACAGACUAACUAAGCAAUCCUAUUUGCCCAGGAACUUGCUAUGUAAACCAGGCUCGUUCACACAAAUCCAUUUGCCUCCGGGGUGCUGGAAUUAAAGUUGAAUGACACCACACCAGCCUAAAAUUGAAUUUUCUUCCCUUUCUUCAAUUUGUUCUUUAAUUAAGAAGCUAGGCAUGUUUCUGAGAAUAAUUUUAAAGGAAGGUGAAACUUUAUUAUAUUUUUUUAUUAUAGAAUUAGAAAAUGUCAAAAAUAAUUGUUUGGAAUCACAAAAAAUUAAAAAGGAAUAUAAUAAUUGAUUCAUCAAAAGGCAUUCUAGCUGCUGUUAGCAUAUUUUCUUUCUUUGGAUUAUGAACUUCUAUGAUUUCAACUGAAUACUUUUGACAGUUUCCUUAAGAUAUGAUUUUGACUUAUUUUUUCUUCAGUAUUUCUGUCAUUUCAGGAACCACCUGCAAAACAAAAAAACCAAAGUAGUAGUUAAACUUCUUGAGCCCUCCCUGGGAUAGGGCCAUUAGUUUUGGGGGCCAUAGGCUAAAAUCAUGACAGACCUCUGCUCAACAAUACGUGCCAUGUAGGCUCACUUGUUCUCUCCCCCAACACGGACGGCAAACCCUCAGUGAGGAGAGCAUGAAGACAACAGGCUGUUGGGGCUAGAGCCACCUUCUGCCCAGACAUCACUGGAAAUACCUAGCAGGAGGCUGUUUUUUUCUCCAAGGCUCAGAGCAGCUCUGUACCCCCAACAUCCUUCCUUCUUACCUCUGUACCCCCAGCAUCCUUCCUACUUUCCUCUGUAUUACCAACACCCUUCCUUCCAUCACUGUGCACCUCACUUUCCUUCAAGUCUGCACAGUGUCACUACUCACAACUGCCACCUCCUUAAGCAUCUCUCUCAUUCUUGCACUGCACACUGCACAGACAUUUCACUGGCUUUCUUAACAUGUAUUGCUAUCAGACAGCAUAUUCAAGUGAACUAAACAGGCAGCGUCAUUGCUUUUCUUUAGAACGCAGGUUUUGUGCCAAUGCCCAUUCUAUCAGCUAGCUGCAGCCCUAUCUUGUCAGGACAGUGGCUGUAGCUAGAGUCUGAUGUUCUCUCACUGCUUAAACAGCCAUGAGCCGAGAGGGGGACUGUGGGACAACACACGCACAUUGUGAACACUAGCUGGGCCACUGGUGUAAAAUAUCAAUUACCCAGUCCUGAAAAGGGCUGUGGGUUGUCCUAGCUCACAGAGAUCUUCGUUGACCGUUACACUGAUGAAUGCAGCCUCUCAAUUAUUUAAGAGAGCUACAUUUCCACCAGGUGGAAAUAAUGCGUUCCUACAAAAUUUAUUAAGGAAAUUGUCGACAUGUUGUUUCUUCCGAAUGUCACUUUGUCCCCAGCCUAUUAAAAGGCCUGUGUUUACCAUGGAGCCAGCAGGCAAUUGCUCAGGGCAGCACUAAGUGCUGGCACCACUUCCCCUGGCUUUCCUCAGUGGAGGGACCAUGAGCUCAUGCCAGUCACAGGGUGGACAUGCUCCCAGAGCCUCAUGUGGGGACAGCCAUGUUUCAUGAAAAAAAGUCAUAGCACAACAUCUUUCUCCAGGUCAAACAUUUAUAACAAAACAAAACUACCCUUCAGAAUGUCCCUGCCCCACAUUCCCCACAACAGAGUCAAGGGGAUUUUCUCACCAUCACUUAUUAGUCUUAAAACAAUUUAAACCAACAACAGACUUUACAAAUAUUCUAUAUAAUCCUUUAGGGGAAAUGCUAAGUGUAAAGGCUGAAAGGCCUGGGUUCUUAUUCUUAUUUUCCUUUAGAUAGUGCAGAGGUACCCAACUCUACUUAGCCAGGGCCCUUAGGAAGACGUGGAUUUAAAAAGAAGGCAGUCUACUACCAUAAACAUGGAUGAACAUGUUCCCCUUAGACUUGGGAGAGUGGAGAUGUCUCUGGAUAAGUGAUUUCUCUGCAGUGUACUGAAAUGUACUGGAUUAGGUGAGGGCUGUUGACCUUCAUGGACAUUCUAAAAGUCCAGCAACUGCAUAUUGAGUUUGUUGAGCAAUUCUACUACUAGAGGUAGUACUCUAAAUGUGGUCAUCUUAUACCAGCAUGUAGGAGAAUGAGACAAAUGGUGUUACCUGCUACAAACUCAGGAAUUCUUAAGAAAGAAAGAGAACAAUGUAGAAUAGGAAAAUUUAGGAUAUCAUCCUAGAGGAGAAACAAAGUUUGGUUGAGGGUGAGGGGCAGGGAAGAAGGGAGAAAGAGAGGAGCCAACAGAAGUAAAUACUGCAGGUUCAAGAGGGAGCAGAGAGUUCAGUGGCUGUAAUGGGAAGAUGGGGCAUAUCAAGUCCACCCAUGGGGAUACGCACUAUGGUCUCUUCAAUACACGGUGCAGAACAAACGGAGAUCCACAUGGAAAAAGAGAGAAGGUACCACACACAAAAAUGUACUCACAACAGAUGACUGUACCCAUGAAACUGUUAGAAGAAAAGCGAAGACUAAAUCAUUACUUUAGGUUGGCCAUCAACCUUCAGAUACAGUAACAAAACCCCAAGUAAUGAAAGAAAACAAUGAACAGACUGGACUUCACCAACAUUAAGAACAUUUGUAUAUCUGAGGUUAUCAGAAAGUUAGAGUAAAGUUGGACAUAGUGAUACACCUUUUAUCCCAGCACUUGAGAGGCAGAGGCAGGCAGAUCUCUGUGCCCAGCCUGGUCUACAUAGUGAGUUCCAGGUCAUCCAGGACAACAAAGUGAGACACUGUCUCAAAAACCCACCAACUAACCAUCCAACCAACCAAACCAAACCAAACCAAACCAAACCAAACCAAAACAUCAAACUUUACUCAACGGGAAGAAAUAUUUGGAAAUCACAUAUUUGGUAAGGGCUUUGUAUUGAGAUAUGGAGAACUCCUGCAAGCCAACAGAAGGACAAACAACCUAAUGGAAGACUUCGAAUAUGGUUCAAUUCCCAAGCACAGCACUUGUCUAAAAUGCAUGAAGCCCUGGUUUCCACCUCUAGCACUUGAAAAAAAAAAACAACAGAGCAAGAGAGAGAAAGAGCGAGGGAGAGUGAGAGGGGGGAGAGGAAGGAAGAAAGGGACUGGGGUAGAAAUGUUUAAUAAGCAUCAUGUGCUUAAACCUCCUUAACAUCAUUAGUUACUGAUGAAAUACAAAUUAAAACUAUAUAGCACUACUCCAUCCCUAGGAUGGCUCUAAUUAAAGGAACAGAAAAGAGGAAGUGUUGGUGAGGCUGUGGGGAAAGGCUUAUUUAUACAUUGCCAGCAAGAGUAUGAAACACUGCAUUCUCUGUGAAAGCAGUCUAGAAGGUCUUUAAAAAGCUAAGAAAGAAUUGUUUUAUGAUCAAGCACAUUCUGCUCUGUGUACAUGCAAAGAAAAUAAAAGCAGGGAUUUGAACAUAUACUUGAAGCUCACUGUAUUAGGAAAAAAUUUUCUUAAGUAUACCAGUUAAAGCAUAGGUAACAAAAGAUUAAAAAAAAAAACUAGUGAGGACUUAAUCAAAAUUUAAAAUGUUUAUACUCUCAUGAAAGAGAAAAGGUGCCUCAGAAUGAGACUGCACUGGAAAUCACUCCUGAUCAGCUUACUUCUGGAACCAAUAUUGCUUACAAUUCAAUAACAAAAAGGCAAUGAAAUUUAAAAACACAAGUCAUUUCUACAGAGAAAAUAUGUAAAUGGCUGAUAAGAAUCCAAAAAGAUAGUCAACAUCACCAGCUAUGGGGAGAAUAAAAUGAAAACCAUAAGAAGCCACUUGACACCCACAGGACCUGUACAGUCAGAAGGACAAGGAGUAACGUGCUAGUGCAUGACAGAAAGCUGGGAGCCCCAUGCACUUCUAGUGGGAUGUUAGCUGUACUGCUGCUGGGAAAGCAGGUAACACAGACUUCUACAUCCACUCUGAGAAAAGAACACUCUUGGCUGUAGAGAAAUCUGUAUGUCAAUGCUAAUAGUGUCUCUAUUCACAAUAACAACAAAAGCAGGAACGACCGACUGGACAAACAUGCUGCUUAUGUCAGCAAUAGACGCUGUUUGUCAAGAGAGAAAUGAAGACUGAAGUGUGCACAGCUGAAACCUGAGCCUUGGGCUCAAGGAAACCGGCCAGAAAGAUCACAAUAUUAAUAAUUUCAAUUGUACAAUGAGGCCAGGAUGGGCAAGUCUGUGGGCUAGAGGUAGAUCUGGGAAUGUACUGCACAGAGAUGUUGGUACAGGGUUUCUCUGCAGUGGGAUGCAAUUAUGUGAACAGUAGGUUCAGUUUACAGCAGCAUGAAUAGACUAUCAGUGUAUUAUGUAUUUUAUCUACAUUUAUUGGUGUAUAAGUAGUGGAUGCAUGUGCAUGCAUGAUUAUGUAUGCAGUGAUGAUAACUUUGUGGGACAGGAACAACUCGUGUUCUCUCAUCUACCAUAUGAGUCCUAGAGAUCAGCUUGUCAGCAAGUAUGGCAGCAAGUGCCUUCAGCUGUUAAGGCAUCUUGCUGGCCCUAAUUACACAUUUUAAAGAUACUAAAAACUAAGCUGCACGUUUGAGGAGGUUUGUGUAUGUGAAUGCAGUUGCUCACAUGGGUCAGAAGACAGUGCUGGAUCCUCCGGAGCUGGAGUUCCAAGGGUUGUAAGCUGCCUCAUGUGAAUGUUGGGAACCAAACUCAGAUCCUUCACAAGAACAGUAAGAGCUGAGUAAUCUCUUCAGCCCUGAAUGCUACAUUUUAAAAUGUUAAACUUUCUAGUAUGAGAAUUUUUAUAUUUAUAAAACCAUUAUAAUAAAAAGGUCAGGUCAUUCUAAUACCUUUUAUAGUAUUUACCAAUUACUCUGAACACCUACUAUGUAUCUGAACAGAAGAGAAUACAAACAGGCUAAUAUUUAUUAUAGACUGCAGGAGAUACAGUAUAAUCACAGUCUGUAUUGCCUUCUUUAAGGUAGGCAGUAUAAUAAUUACAAUACUUACGAUGAAGGUAACACUCAGCAGUACUGAUCUGGCUGAGGUAAUCUAACUAGUCCCAAGACAGGACAGAACCUGAACUAAAGCCCUUGGUAAAUCAUAACAACUCCACUUUGUGUCCUAAUUCAAAACUUGUGAAGGGUUUUUGGCUGGACUGGGAUUAUAGCUCAGUGGUAGAACACUUGCCUAGCAUUUGUAAGACUCUGAUUUUAAUCCAUAAACACACACACACACACACACACACACACACACACACACACACACCUCUCCCUUCUUUUCAUAGCAGCUUCUUCUCUCACCGAGACAUCUCAGUGGCAAAACAACUCCCUAGUUACACACGUAGGUCAGAAAAGAGCAGCUGACCUACAUGCACUCUUCCUGACACAGAACCUCACCAUCACUGAAGUAAGGUAACAUUCUUCCCAGGACAAGGCCUAGGCCCUCAGACAGUCCCCUGAGUGGAAGGAUGACUUCUGCUGAUUAGAGAGCAGCCUCUUAGAUUUUACAUGCAGUCUGAGCCAACAGGAGAGUCCCUGAGUAGGUGAAGGGUCACCCUCCAUUCUUCACUGCCCCAAGUCAGUGCUCUUGCUGGGAACUGUGCCGUCUCUAUUCUCAGGCUUCAGCCUUCCCAAUGUGCCUUGCAUUCCCUCAAGGUAGUUUCAUAUCAGGGAUUCCUAUUCCAGCAAACCUAUCUCUCCUAGCACUGAAUGCUACUCUCAGUGUCAACUUCUAUAUGAGUGACUCUGCACACAGGUCAGGGCAACAAGGGCAGGCUGAGCCAAGCAUGAACUGUGUGCCUUUAAAUGUGGCCAACUGCAUUUCAGGUGAUCAUCAGCUAUAAUUUGCUAAAUAAGUUUAUAUGACUAAAGUAAAGUAGUCUUUCUCAUGGGGAAGGCAAACACAUCAGGAGUAGUAGGGUAAAAUGGGGGAAAACUUGUUUUUCUUAAAACUAUCACAUGAGAAAGACUUUAACUUUCAAACUCAGUAAAUAGAACAUCCUUGCUGAGCCAGUUAUUAGACUUGAGUGCGAACUCCUCCGCUGCAAAGGCUUCAGGUCCUCAGCAAUCCCUGAACGAAGAGCUUGGUGGUCGUUUCUUCAGUGCGUCUGCUAAAUGUGGUCCUAGUUCCGACGCAUGGUCACUUCACACUGUGCCAAGAGCCUGUGGGUAUUUUACAAUCUGGAUUUCUUUGAAAGAAGCUAUGUUGUAUAGUAACAUCAGAAAGCUGUCAGGGAGAUUACAUUUAAAGUAGGAUAAAAUUAUAAAAUAUAUUACAUGUACACAGACACACGACACACAUUUUUGUCUUUCUUUUAACUUGGAACAAUCUGCUGGAUGGCAAUGCUGGUAAUAUUAAUUCCUCUCAAGACUAGCUUACCUUAAAUAAAUCUGCAACUAUUCCAUAAUCUGCCACUUGGAAAAUUGGAGCUUCUGGGUCUUUGUUAAUAGCCACAAUUGUCUAUGAAAUGAAAAUACAGAGUUGAACUUUCAUCAAGAAAACAUACCAUACUGUUUGGUGAUUCUGUUUUAACAUCCUUCUUAUAAUAUGCUAAUAUUAUUUAAAUAUUCAUCAACAACAAUUUGGAGGUUCUAUGACAACACUAUAUAUGUAUACAUUAUAUAUGUAUUAGAAGUUUUUGGGUUGUAUUAUAGUAAAAUAUUUACCACUUAGCCUAUCUCAGAGUAAAGAGUUUAAAAUUAUUAUCUUCUUGAAAUUCUUUUAAGUGGGAAAAAGGUUAAUUUUAGAUAAAAUAGUAACAAAUCUAUACCCCAAAUCAUAGUGUUGGUCAACUUUUGUUUCCUAUAUAUUCUAUUCCACUUAUUAUUCUAAAAUCAUCCUGGGUCUGUUCUGAGAAUAUAAGCUAUUUAUCUUGCUAACCUGCUAUUAAAGAAGAACUUAAAAGUCCUCAUGUAUGUGGCAAAUGCAUGCAAUAAAACAAACAAGUUUUUGGGUCUCUUGUAAAAACUACCAAAGAUUAGCCUUCCCUCCUACAGAUGCAGUCUUAACUAUGAAAGACUGUGGUGGUUCUUACAGAGUGGGAAAUGGUUUCAUAUUUCCCACAGUUGCUUUAAACACUAUUGCAGUAAGUAAGGUUAGAGCUGUGACUCAUGUUUUAGUGAGUGGUAGAUUGUAAUUCAGUUCUCUAGAGCAAAGUUAAAUUUCUAACUACCUGUCAUUGUAUCUUGAGAAACAUACAGUUAUUAUUUUGAUAUAGUCUGACCUAAAAUAAAGGCCUCAUGUCUAAUUUCCCUAAUAGGGCUCCUGAAAGGGGCAUUAGAACAUGACAGAAUAAGUGAGACUGGAGCCAGCAUAGCUUUGAUGACAGCGAGCUCAGAAACAAUAUACAAGUUUCACAUGUAAGUCUUAAAUCCAAACUCAUAAGGACAAACACACUGCCUCACAGGCCCCAGCUUUCACUGAGGUGCUUCUCUUCUGGGAAUGUGCACCUUGAUUCACAGCUAGAAGUAAAGAUUUAUUUAAUUGAUGACAGUUAACGAUUCUCUUGGAGGCCACCUAGUCAAACAUUUGACAGUUUAAUCAUCUGAAAGCUUUUCAUCCUACUAUAUAAAAGUUAUUUUAAAAGAAAGAGCACAUAACAAUGGGCUAGGAACCACAAUGAUAUUAAAAAGAAAGUGGAUGGGUAUACUUUUCUGGAUUACUGAAAUAGUAUUCUUAGAUUAUCAACUGUAAAAUUGUUAUGAUAAAGCCUUAUUUGCUCUCAAUAGCUCCUUGUAAAUUCAGGCUUUCCUCCUCCUAUUUUAAAUGGACACAUUGUAUCCAACUACACUACUGAACUAUCACUAUGUAUAUAUAGCACAGAUACUAAUUUGCUACGAUAAUCAAAACUCACAUUAUGCUGUCAUGCUAAUUAAAACUGCAGCUCAUAGACAAUGUAAUUAUCAGAUUUAAGGCAUUCUAAUAUCCCACUUUAGAAUUUAAUCAAAAUUACCAACAGAAAUCAUUGGCUCCCACAUAAGACAGACAUAAUAAUAGCUGAAUCUUUUUUCUUUUUCUACUUUUCUUUUUUUCUUUUUUUUUUUUUUUUUUGAGUCAAAAGACUAUAGACUGGGCUAGUCUAGGCUUGAUGAUCUCCCUGCCUUAGCCUCCCUGGUAGUGGGACUCAAAGUGUGUGCCUUCACAUCUGCUAGAUUAACUUUUAUUCAUUUAAUCAUUUAAUUAUGUAUCUGUGGAUUUAGUGAAGGUAAGUUCAUUUAUUGUCACAAAUUAUUCCCCAGCUCUGGUUUCAGCUGUUCCUAGCUUGCUUAGAUAUACACUAUCAAGUUUGUUUGAUUUCCCUCAGCAACUAGUCCUGUUGCCAGGUGAGGGGAAUAUUCAUCAGGGUCUUCUUGGCACACGUAAUCCUUUAUUUUGGAGAAGCAGUAUUCUAGACACAUGAGAAUUAUUCUAGCUAAAAAAUGUAAGGCUCUGGUAUAGAAGAAGCUUUGUGUGCGCGCGCAUGCGUGCAUGUUAGUGCAUAAGCCACAUUUUCCCCAGUGGCACUGCUGUUUUCAGAGUUCAGUAAAGAAACCUGCCAUCCAACUGUGAAAUCUGACUGGAUCUGAACCAAUUCAUUUAGAAGCUACAAAGAGACAGUUCAUGUACUUUUCUUCAAGUUAGAACUCAAGCCUGUUAAAAGUUUUAUCAUCUUUUAUAUCCAGCUUCCAUCUGAACGGAUAAAUGCAGAGUUUCAGAUCCAUCUCUGUCUUCAUGAAAGGUAAGUUCAUAAUUCAAGCUGUACAUUGUUAUGCAUGAGUUAAUAUGUCAUACUCUGAAAUAUAUGUUCAGAGUUAUUUCAGAGGAUUUCCAAAUAUAGUCCAAGUAGUGAGUUAAAAAAAAAUCAAGUGUUUGAUUACACAGUGUACCAUCAACAAUUACAGAGGUAUGAAGAUGGCCUGAUACUCUAACCCAGUGGUUCUCAGCCUUCCGAACACUGCAACCCUUCAAUACAGUUCUUCAUGCUGUGGUGACCCCAAUCACAAAAUUAUUUUUUCUGCCACUUUAUCACUGUGAUUUUGCUGCUGUUGUGAAUCAUAAUGUUACAUAUCUGAUAUGCAGUCCCCAAAGGGGUCUGUGUCAGUCACACAUUGUUAAUAACCCAGAAGAGGGUGGCUCUGCUAGGGCACCAAGUGAAGCAGACAAAAGAAUCAGGGAUCAGAACCUUAUUGUUUCUUAAGUCUCACAUCUUCUACCACAGAGUGUCAGAGCUGAAAUGGACACUGGUGGUCGAUCACCUAACACCCACAUUUGGCAAACAAAGAAACUGAGGCACAGGCAGCCAGGGGCCAGCACAUAGUAAUCAAAGCUUAGGUUCAGUUGUGCCUUGUGACCAGCUGCCCUUCACUCUAAUGAUAUACUUAAGGUGGGGGAUAGCAACUUCAGUCUCUCAGUUUCUAUGGUAAUAUGAAGUGUUCAAGUACACAUUAAUUACAUGUAUAUAGAAAUGUGAAAGUUUUUCAUCUUAGCACCCUAAUUAUAGCAGAGAAUUACCUUGCUGUCCUUCAUCCCAGCUAAAUGCUGGAUGGCUCCAGAUAUUCCAACAGCAAUAUAAAGUUCCUGAAACAAGAGACUGCAUUAUUAAUAUGCAUUUAUAUUAUAUAACACUUUUGAGGCAGAGUCUUAGUUAUCUUAGGCUGUCCCAAACUCACUAUCUAGCUGAAGAUGACCUUGAAAUUCUGAUCCUCAUGUCUCUGCUUCCCAAGUGCUGGUAUUAUAGGCAUGCAUCACCCCUCGUUUAUGAAGUGCUGAAAUUUAAUCUUUGUUCAAUAUGGCUUUGUGCAUGCUAGUUAGCCCUCUACCAUCUAUGUGCGACAGUCCCAGCCAUAUAAUAGUUUAUAAAGAGUAUACCAUUAGUGAUUUAAGUCUUAUGCAAAAGAUAUGUGAAAUGAAUUACCCUGCAGCACCACUUAAAUCAUGCUUUCUUCUCCAAUUUUUGCACUGUGGUUCUUUUUCUAGUGAGUUCCUAUAGUAGUGGUGGUAUAAAAUACAUGUAUACAUAUAUUGAGCAUUUACAAUGCAUCAAACACUGCUCAGCAUCCCACAGCAACCAUCCCAGCUCCACACUGGCACCUAUGGCACUCACUAUGCAAUUCACAGGUGCUGUAUCUACCCAUUUGCAGCAUAAAUACAUUGUAUAUUAACAUAUAAACACAUUCAAAUGUAUUAAAAUAGAUUUUUUUGCUUGUUUGCCUUCUCACAAAAGGAUAUUUGUAAAAAUGGUAAUUAAGAAAUAUUUAUUUAACUUCUUAUUUAUAAAGGCCAGAAACACAAAUUAGUGUCAAGAGGUUCUAAGUGUGCCUGUGUUCAGACAGAUGGGUGGAUAGAUGGGUGUGUACAGGCACACAACAAACUUCUUAAAAGCACUGGGUGAGGCUUUCCAGAACACAGCACAAAGGCUCCCACAUGGGAGUCUCUGAGUAAUGAUGGCAUUUGCACUUCUUCCUGACCCUCUGUCCCCAGUAAUUACAAGAAAAUCAUAGUCAACUACUGUUCUAUCCCCUUACCUAAAAAUUUUUAAAGUACCAAUGUUUGAAAAUUAAACUGUCAUCAUGGAAGAGUGAUUUAAUGAGCACUUAAUUACACUUAGCUCUAUUUUGUCUACUAAGUAUAAUUAAAACUUCAACUGAGAACUUUUCCCACCCAUAACCUGGCAUGCCCUGGCUUGGGUGGGAGGAGCACUGACCACGUAACUAGAAUGUCACUACUUUGGGGUGAGUAAUACUCACUUUAUUACAAGGCAAACACUUCAAAGCGACUGGCAGUGUCUGGUGGUCUCACCUUGUUUUUCUAUUGCUUAUGAAUUAAUCUAACAACUGCUCGCUCUAUCAGAGAACAUUCGGCUGGGACAUGGAAGUAAUACGGUCCUUCAGUGUUAUAUUUCCUAAACCUAGGCGGGCAUGGACAUGCACAGGGCAUUUCUCUCCCGGGGUCUUGUCUACUGGUGCUUUUCCAGGAGCACCAGGAUACUCUCAAGAGUAACCAGACCGAACACCACAAGCAGAGAGAUCUUCAACUCUGCAGCAGCCCUUCUCCCACGUUGUUAGCAUAACCACAAGCCUUCUUUUAAGAUUCUAAAGUGCCCAAGUGCUUCCAGAACAGCACAGUGCCUCCAUGUAACUUGGAAGCAGUCUUGUCUCCAGUAAGGUAAUCAAGAUAGCUGUCCCCCAAGUUAUUCUUUUUUUCCCCCUGUAGCUGAGGACUGAACCCAGGGCCUUGGCUUUGCUAGGUAAGCACUCUACCACUGAGCUAAAUCCCCAACCCCAUUCCCAAGUUAUUCUUAUAAAGAGACCAUUUCUAUCUCUCUGUGUGUGUAUGUUUAUGUAAUAUCUAUCUAUCUAUCUAUCUAUCUAUCUAUCUAUCUAUCUAUCUCUAUCUAUCUAUCUAUCUAUCUAUCUAUCUAUCUCUAUCUCUAUCUCUAUCUAUCUAUCUAUAUAUAUAUCUCAAAUGCAAUUUGCCUCGAAGACUAUGUUUUGGGAUGACAAGUCUAGUACAGAAACCGAAGGUGAACAGCUAACACAUGCUCUGUCCUGAAUAUACCAGUACUUGCACAGCGGGACUGCAGCAUGUGUUACCACACCCAGCUGACGUAAUGAUGUUAAAGCAAACUAUUCAGAUAGGAAAUGUCUCACUAGUCACUCUUUCUGAUCACCCUUCUAUGUAGAUUCUCAAAGCAAGCAUUGGAAUGGAUCAAUAGUCCUAUAUAUGACUCUUUUUGACAUACUAAUUAAAAUUCAACGUGUCUUAAAAGUUCCAUUUGUAGCAUGAAAUGCUAAUAAAAAUGUUAGUUCAUUCUGGCAGUAAAUACAAGCAUACCAUAAGUCUACUUUGAAUUUCUGCCUCCCAUAAAUGAAUCCCAUUGCCUUUCACCAUAAAUGUACCAAGAAGACAAAAGAAUUUUGGCCAAUGCCAACCCAAGGCAGGUGCUUCAGGUUAUGAAAUGACUCCUCUAUGAUCAACAACCUAAUGGAGCCACAUGACCAAUGGGACUUCAUUUUGUUGUCUUGAAACCUGGUUCUUUGAGUAAAAACAAAAACACUGAAAUAAGAGCUCAGGAGGAGCUGGGACUUCAGGAUGCUGUAUUGAGUCCUGUGGCUCUCAGGCAGGAAGAGAAGCUUUCUUCUUCCUCUAAAAAACAUGUUCAGGCAAUUAGACUAAUAUCCAUGGAUGCUUCCUCAAGCUUCAGAAAGCAUUUUUCUGUGUUUCAAUAAUAAUAAUUAGUAUGUACAAAACUCUACAGAUGCUAAUUUAUGGAGCACUUCAGAUACUGACUGCUUCACAACACAAGGCAAUCCCUGCCCUUAGGCACUUUCCUUCUAAAUCAGUAAAAUAACUGGGAGAGAAAAUGAGAGAAGAUGUUGGAGGAAGAACAGCAAUUAAGGUUCAGAAAGAGGUGGGGUUAGAGACAGAGACAUCCUGGAAGGAGGAGGGGGCAUCUUGAAGCUAAUCCUAGGGGCUUUAGUAAAUGUAGGAAGAGAAAAGGAAAAGGAAAGGGAGGGAAUGAGGGAGGGAAGGCAGGAUAGAUAGAUGGCACAAGAAAGAUCAGGAACAGAAGAACAGACCCACCACAUGGCUGGUAGCAGUAUGGGUUGGUUACUCUGUUGGGAAGUUAUAAAGCUAUGGGAUAGGAGAAGGACAAAGUGAUAUGGCAGAGAGAUGGCACCAAUAAGCUUUCCCCAAAGAAAGCUCUAAUACUCUUAUGCUUCCCAAUUUAUAAACCAAAAAACAAAACAAAAAACCCUAUACCUACAGACCCACCCAAAGAACUCAAGGGCUGAGAUCUCUCAAUGGACUGCCAAACCCCAGGUCUCAGAUGCUGCUUACAGACAUGCACAGAAGAGCAUGCUGGGGUUAAUAACCUUGGCUCCUGAGCCUGUUCAGAUACAAACCUAUGCCCCUGCCACUUGCUUGUCUUUAAAAUGGGACGAUAACAGUCCCUAUUUCUUAAGAUUAUUGUCGAGGGUUCAGUCUUUAGCAAAGUAUCUAGUUUCCCAAGGCACACUGAUGCGCCUUCUCUCACAGUCUGAAAUUUGUUCAAACCUUGAUUUCACUGGUGGAUCUGGGUGGAGUACUCUAAGGUGGCCUUAGGACUACUCUGUACAGUCAAACAGGUUAUACACUAAGCGACUCUGGAGAAAGGCACCAUUUAUGCCUGUCACUAUUAAUGCACACUCUUAUUACAAUGACUUUCCAACAGAUGGCAGCACAGGAACUUGAGAAAAGGGUACUUUUAUAAUUCAAAGGAGCUGAAUGAAGUGAGGCAGCCCAAAUCCUCUGUGAUACAAAUAAUAAGUUUAAGUGUACAGGUCAGGAAACGUUUAAUGGUGAUGGUUAGGUGGGUUUUUUCCCCCUUCUACUUUGUAUGAAUGCAGCCUCAAACCAGAGGUCAAUACUGGGUGUCUUCUUCAAUCUUCUUCCCCUUUAUUUUUUGAGACAAGUUCUUUCACUGAACCUGAAGCUAAAUUUCAAUUUGGCUAGGCUGGGUGGACAGCAAGCCUCAGGGAUCACCCCAUUUCUAUACUUUCUCGGCAUUGGCAUUACGAGUAUGCAGUGUUUCAUAUGGUUUAUUUUGUGUUACAAACAUAUCUUAAACUAAUUCUUUGGGUAUCUCAUAUAAUCGCAGAAUGUAUUUUGAUCCUAUCCUUCCCACUCUCCCCAUGUUCUCCUUUUUAAAACACACUAAGUCAAAUUAGUGCUGCUUUGCAGGAUCAUCUACUUACUGGAGCCUGGGUAGCCUCUCAGAGGUCUUAUUCUUGAAGAACAGUCAUCAACAAACAACAGCUCCUCAGGCAGAGGUGGGAACCCCUGCCAUAUCCAUGCUGAAAUCCUGAGUGGCUUGAUCUUGUCCAGAUCAAGAAACCACAGCCACUGUGAGUUCAUGAGAACAGUCUUACCAUGUCCAGAAGACACUGGCAGCAGUCUACUGCAAUCUCUGCUUCUCACAAUCUCUCUGCCCCUUUUCUGUGAUGUUCCCUGAGCCCUGAGGGAAGGAGGUAUGGCACAGAUAUCCAAAGUCAUUUAUUCUCUCCAUUUGAAACUCUUAUGUGUGUCUGUCUUUACCACUAUCCACUGCAAAGAGUUUUUCUGAUGAGGGUUGAGAGAGGUACUUAUCUAUGAGUAUAAAGGUAAGCAUUUAGAAACAAUUAGAUAUGACAUCCUUUCAGUAAUAAUAGUAGUAGAUUUUCCUCCAGGACCUAUGAUCUCCCUUGGGUGCUUGACUCAGAUUACAGUUAUCAGGGCAUGAGCUGUGUCCUAUGGAGUGGGCCUUAAAGUGGUUGAUUACCCCCUCUCCUCACUCAAUGUUAUCAUGACACUACUGUACCAACAUGCAUAUCUUGCCUAGCUCUCCAGAUAAGACUGUUGAUGAUUUUUCUCCUGUCAACCUGUAUAGCACCCUCUGACAUAAAAGCUAGCUAGUGGGGAGGAAGCUUCUAGAUUAGUACUACCUUGAUUUCUCCACAUUCUGUGACCCAAGUAUGCCACAUCUUCCACAUCAGGGAUGUACCAUCAAGUUCUGGUGGAUAACCAAGAAUGGUGGUAAUAGCUUGAACUGUUUGUAUGUGUGAGGUGGGGCAUUCUCCUAACCAACAACUUAAAGGAAGUAUCCCAUGGGGCCUUUACGUGGGGCUUGAAAUCAGGUCCUCAUGAUUGCAUGGCAAGCACUCCACAACUCAGCAGUCUCCCCCGCCUUGGUUGGCUGGUCUUCCUAUUGUUGAUGUUGUUGGGCCUUACAAAUAAGAAAAAGCUUGCAAGUCCUUUGCCCUUGUCCUCAAGAAGUGUACAAUCUAACAAAGCUUAAGCAAACUCAUAAUAAAGGAAAGGGGCAAAAAAGAAUGACAGUUCUGGUCUCUUGUAUAAAUUCUCAGUUCCUGAUUGGCCACUGAGAAGUAUAAAGGCCUUUAGGAGCAGGAAGCAGAUGGGGGUGGAGACAGUGUUUUACUCUUUGGCAGUCUAUUUGACCCUACUUUCUUAGUCCUUCAAAGCACACACAACUUUUAUAGUUCUAACUCAAUACACUUAAGGCCAACUGAAGGAGGCCUGACUUAGUACUUCCACAGAAAUCUAAGGAUCCUGAUGAGUUCAAUGGCCAGUCAGGUUUGGCCUCUGUAGGAAGCAUUAAUAUCACUGAUUCAGAUCUCAAGCUGGAACUCUAAGGGAUGUAAUCUGAGCCCUGCUUCUCUGGGGAAGCUGAGUGCAGAGGCUAAAGGGAAAGCUAUCUCCUACUUACAACACUGACUGUAGUCUAACACUAUUAAGCCUAAAACAGAGAGAUUCAAUAGAGAUACCUUAUAAGCCACAUAUUUAAGAUUUUUGGUCAGUUGUAUUAUGGUAAAAGGAAACAGCUAAGACUAAUUUUAAUAAAAUAAUCUCAAUUUAGAUUAACCACAUUUCCAGUGGCAAAACUUUACAAAUCCAAAAUAAUAGAACAAACUAUGGAGAAGCUUUUCAUAAGCACUGUUAGGACACUGUGGGCUGUGGCCUAGAGACAGAACUGAUGGCUGUUAUUUGGUUCCAAAACAUGAGGCAGAGCAGCACAGAGAGAGCCAACCAGAGUCCCAACCAACCAGCAAAUACACACUGCAAUUCUGCUGACAUGGACCACUGUGAAAAAACCAAAGGUGGAUAAAAAUUCUACUGGCUUACUACAGGAAGUACACUCUAAAAAAGCAAUUCUCCAACUAGUAAAUUUUAUUUCCUAGUAAUAAAUAUUCAUAGUUUGCCACUAAAGAAUUUUAUCCUUAAAACCUUAUGCCCUCAAAAUAAAGUCCUAAGGAUAUCAAAAAAUUAACAUGGAAAUUAAAAAAAUACCUGAAAUGAAACACAAAAAAGGGCAGAGUAUAGCACAACAUGUGGGAUUUAGCUAAAGGGACGGCUACAAACAUAUUAGCCAGUUAAGUUAGAAUUUUUGUCUAAAUUCCUAAAUGGUGCUGCAAGACAGCUGGGAUGAACUCUGAUGCAAAUCCUUAGCACAGUGUGUGUGUGGGGUGUGUGUGAUGUGUGCAUGUGUAUGAAUGAAGCUGAAAUUAGUUUAUAACAUGAACUCAUGAAUUCUUUUUUUUUUUUCCUGGAAUUGUGAUUCUGCAUGGAGCAACUUCAGAUCUGCCUUACUUUAAACAACGGAGAGUGAAGAGAUUGAAACUUACUUUUUGUUUAUCUGAAAUAUGGAUAUGAGCAAGACUGGUUAUAUCUAGAGCACUCAGAACAGAAAACUAAGGCAGUAUUGUUUCUACUCUAAAAUUUAAUCAGGUUUUAAAUUUCUUUCCUACCAACAUUCUCCCUCUCUAGAUAGAGUUGGGGGAAGGAACAUGAAAAACUGCAUUUUGCCAAAUGAAAAAAAUUAAAACACACUUUAAAAAAUUAAAAUAGUUCUCAUUAAAUAAGUACAGAGUCAAUGUUAUGCACUCAAAACCAAAAUCCCCAUGCUGUCUGAGACAAGAGGCUUGCAGAAGGGAAUUUACUUCUCAGCUCUUUACUGAACAGUCUGGAGGCAGAGGCUAAGCAGCAACUGUUGCAGCUAAACAGAAAACAGGCCACACAUCAGGUGAGGCUAGAAAUGUAUUUCUCAGCAAAUAACAAAUGUAUCUUUGAGGAAUAGGUUGUCUGAACCAUAUUUUCUAAUUAUUGCAAGCCUGUUAUGCAUUAACAUUGCUAUAUUUCAUCCUCCUGCGGUUCAUUUUAAAAAGCCAAACCAUUUCUUCUGUUUGCCAAGUUGUGUUUAAGACUUCUUUUUGGAAGAGGCUCCAAAAAUGCCGAGACAACUCUCUGUGGCUCUUUUCUCAAACAGCUUUCUGCUUCUGUGACCAAAUUGUCAAGCAGGGUUGUGGCUAAACUACAGUUUACAUGAAUGGAAGUUGGAUUCAGUCUCACUUUAGAGCUGAAGUUCUGUCCCACCCAUGAUUUUCUGCUUCAAGGGUGAUCAGGAUACAAGACUGUAUGCCAAUCACACAAAUGUGUUGUUGGUGAUGCGCCUGCACUGAUACCGUUGAUCAUUAUUUUAUUUUACUGACUUAUAAUAACUCUACAACAAAGGAACUAGUCCCAUUGUAUAAAAGAGAGCAGACUUAGGCAGGUUUACUAGCUAUCUGAAGUUGUAUCCACCAAGUAAAAAGCAGGCUUUUUAUUCCUAGCUUUAUUAAGGUAUUUUUUAAAAUAAAUUAUUGGUAUACAUACUCCUGUUUACUGUUUACCACAACCAGCUGGCUAGCACACUUACUACCCCAUGUCAUCAUGUUUCCCCUUCUUUCCUUCAGAGAUGGGAGACUUAUGAUUCAUUCUCUUGGGGCCAGAGGAGUAACUCAAGCACAGACACUUGUCUACAUAUGCAAAGCUCUAGGCUGAAUCACUAGCAUUGAAAAAAACUUUUAUGUAAUUACUCUCAACACAGUUCAAGUAUCUAACCCAAUAUUAAAUAUCAUUCUGGAAUUAGCUCCCCAGAGAAAACUUCAUACCUUUGGCUACCCUCUCCCCAUUCAUUCACCAUCAACAACCCCUCUCUACUCUCAAAAGAUAGGCUUUAUAACCUAAGAAGUCCUUGGUUAUAAAGUCAACACUUUUUCUACUAUACCAUGUAUGACUAAAUGAGGUUAUAGUACCAUAAUAUGACUCAAGUGAAGUCAUCAGUCAGCUGAAACUACAGCAAACAAUACACCUACCAUAGAGAAAAUGCCUGGAACAUUACGAGACCAGAUGAGACUGACCCACAGAAGUGGCAAGUCACUGAAGUUACUGCUAUCAUUAGUGUUAAUGGUGCUUAUUUAAUUUGUGAAGUCUACAUUGAAAACUAGCUGAUAUUUUUCGGUUAGCAAUCAAUAAAGUUCCAAAUAAUCUGGUUCCAAAUAAUCAUUACAGGAAAAUGUCUAGAAGCAAAGCUACUGAGUGGGUACUUGAUGACUUAGUAGAUGGGUCUGGUGUUUAUAAGAGAAUAUGUAGCUGAGGCUUCUCAGUCACAGGUUCUCCAAACCUUAAAUUCAUAUGAUUUCUCCCACAGUCUCUUACACAGCCCACUUUCUCUUCUAAGAGGCCCCAGAAAUUGGCAACCUCUUCACAACCAGCUAACUUACAAAAUGUUGAAAGCUGGCCAUGAACUCAUGAUGCCCCUGCUACCACAUUCCAAAUUGCUAGGCUAAUACCACCAUGCUAGGUUCAAAGCUUUAUGGGUUUUAUUUAUUUUUAUUUUUGAUGUGGGUAUUAAAAAUAUUAUACAUGUUGAUAUACAUAUUGAAAAAUAUGAACAACAAAAGUUAAUUUGCCCUUGACCUUUUUUAGUAUUAUUUUAGCUACAGGUUUCAAUUAUAUAGUAUGUAUAUAUGUAUAGAACCUGAAACAAGUUUUCCUUUAAAAAAUGUUUUCAAGGGGCUGGGGAUUUAGCUCAGUGGUUAGAGCGCUUACCUAGGAAGCGCAAGGCCCUGGGUUCGGUCCCCAGCUCCAAAAAAAAGAACCAAAAAAAAAAAAAAAAAUGUUUUCAAAAUAGGAUUCAAUUAUUUUCCAAUGAAAUGAUUUUCCUCUACCUAAUUUGAUUCUAUACUAAUUCAUAAUUUUUUUCCAUUUAGAGAAAUAUAAUUUUAGUAUACCUAAAAUAACAGAAAGUCAAAUAUGACCUUGUACACUUUACCAAAUCUAUUGAUAUUGAAAUGUUUUACUAUAAGGCAUAAAAAACUUAGAAUACAAGAAACAAAGUCAAGAUUACAAAGCCUUUCAACUUAGAAAAUCACAUAGAAAGUUUAUUUUGAAAACCAAAUUGUCAUCAGCAAAUUUCUUAAUGGAUCCAAGUCAAAAUAUGUAAUAUUUUACUUAUCUGUAAAAUUUAGGAGAUGUAAAAGACCACCAUAAUUAUCUAUGUCAUAUACUUUAAUCAAUAAAAGUAAGUAUAGGCUACAGAAAGGAACCCAGACUCUGACCUCCAAGCAGUAUUCUUCCCAUUUACCAAGCUGUUUUCUCUUCAAAUUUCUAAAACCAGGCCAUUACUUACCAAUGACUUCCUCCUCCCAUUUAUUUAUUUAUUUAUUUAUUUAUUUAUUUAUUUAUUUACUUACUUAUCUUUGUGAUAGGGUUUAUCUGUGCAGCUCUAAAAUAAUAUUAUUUUAGGAAGUAGGCUGGGUUGGUGGCACAUACCUGCACUGAAGAAGUAGAACAGGGUAGUAGCUACAGUUUAAGGCCAAUAGCAGACACUGAAGGUCAGCCUUGUCCACACAGUAAGCUUCAAGUCUCCAAAGCAAGACAUGGAGGCCCUGCCUUGAUAAUACACACAAAGGAGUGAGACAUAGACUCCUGUCCUCUGUGGUGGGGAGAACUAUUUCCAAAAUGCUAUUUGUCUUCUAAUACUAAUAUAUAGUUACACUCAUUGGUUGAUAUUGUUUUUUUAAUUUUUUGUUUUUCAUUUUGGUUUCCUGAAACAGGGUCUUGCUCUUGCUCUAUGACACAGCUAACCUGGCAUUAUGUAUCCUAAAUCCACCUUGAGUGUAUAAUCCUUCUGCCUCUGUCUCCUAAGUGAGGGUAUGGAACUGCAGGGAUAUGGCACCGUACUUGGCUUUAACUUUUUCGUGAGUGUGCGUGUGCGUGUGUGUGUGUGUGUGUGUGUGUGUGUGUGUUUCUUUGGCCUCAAAGUAAAUUUAAGUACUGACUAUGCUAAAUCCAUUAGCUGUAUUUCUAUCUGGUACAGUGUCUUAUUCUUUGACAUUCAAAUGCACAAGUAUUAACUUGAAGUCGCACACACACAAAAUAAAUUCAUUUUUAUAUGAAAGAAUGCAAACUACACUGUGUUGGUUUUUCAGAAUGGAAAUUUACAAGUUUUAUCCCUUUCAAGUUAUCAUUUCAAGAUGGCUAAAGUAGAUUUGCUAUCUACUCUAAUUGAUUUUCAUGUCAGCUGUUAAAUUAGGUUGACUAUGUACAAGACAUGUCAAUCUAUCAUUCAGUAGCUUUUAAGCAGAUAAAUGGGACAGAAAUGGGGGAGGGAUAAAUGUAUAUAAUAAUCUCUGAAAUUUAAAUAGUUUAGCUUUCUAUAAUAAAGUGGUAAUGGGGAAAAAAUUCCACUAAUCCAAGCCUUCUGAAAUAACUGUAAAGAAGUCAGUCUGAUAAAUUUUAGCUGAGAAAAUAAACCAAGGAUAUAAAUAGAGCUGCUAAUUUUUGGCAAGUGCACAACUGAACAAUGUAUACUUGCAAACUACAACCUACAAAUGCUGCACCUUCACUCUGUCACUUAAGCUUCCUUGUAAGGACUUUGAUCAUCCAGGCCUUGUAAUUACCUUUUAAGAAGCAUGCUUAGGGUGUUUUCUGGACUGCGGGCCCACACAGCAUUUCUCUUUGUCCUCUUGGGGACAGAACAUCAAUUGCUUUCAGCCAAAUGCACUCACAUAUGAAUAUUUUAGUACAAUUUAAUGCUUCUAUACCAACCCCAAAGGAAAAGCACAUCAAUUUGUGAACACAGUUCUCUUAGAGCUAAAAGCCAAGCUAGAUAAUGCAGUAUGAAAGCAGUUGUCAAUCUUAGCUUUUUAGCAAGUUAGAGGGCAGCCCAUCCCAUAAACUCAUUCCCAGUUGUAUACAAAUAACUCUAGAAAGUUUGUUUCCACACUGACUUUUCAACACUAUCAAAAUUUCAAAACAAAGGUCAGAAAUAAAAUGUACUGUUUUGGUAAAUUCUCCUAAACUGCUUACUCAUCUGGUAACAUUGAUUCUAUUCACUUAAUCUCAGAAUUAUAAACAGGAAGUUGAUUUGUCAGUAAAAUAUCAAAAUAUAGGCAAAGUAAUCCACAUGUACUAAGACGCUGCACUAAGUGUAAGGACACUGUCUCUGGCAACAGAUAGCAGAUUCUCUAGUGAUUACAACAUGCUUAUGUGUUUGGAUGGUUAGGAAGGUCAGGUCGGCAUAAUCAAACAGAUCACUGAGAGCAAUCCAGAAGGGUACUCCCAAACAUAUCAAGACUUAAAAAGUCAUACUAAAUCUGGUCACAAUGUAAACUUAAAACUCUGAACUCCAACAAAUAAUGAAUCAUAAUAAAAUCCAAUGAGCUUGACAAAUGUCAGAGAAUUGAUUUAAUGAUUGUUCAUGAUUUCAAACAACAGAAUCUUCUAAGAAUCUGUAGGGGCUGGGGAGGUGAACCAGUGGGUCAGAGCACUUCCUGUAAAAGCAAGAGGAUCUGAGUUCAAACACAAAGUACCCAUGUAAACUCUAGAGACAAUCCACACACCCUGCAAGCCUAGCACCAGUCACCAGAAACAAGCAGAUCCCAUGCUUGUUGGUGAGCAACCUAGAUGAAAAGGGGCAACUCCAGAUUCAGUUGAGAGGACCUAUGUCAACGAUUAAGGUAAAGACCAAUAAAGAAAAACAGACAUCUUCUGGUCUUUGUAAACACAUAUAGGAUGCAUACCCUAUGUAUUAACACAUGUGGAAACACAUUAUACACAUAUAUAAAAAAGAAUCUGUAAUAGUUACUAUAAAAUCAUCUAGGGCACAGCACUUGUAACAUCCCAGGCAGUUUUAUAUGACAUAUGCACAUGGACUCUCUCCUUUAACUGGUUUUAUGUAUAUUAGUUCACUAAUUAUGUAUGAAUCUGUGAAAUAGGGAUUAUUGUCACUAUUACAUGUCUCAGGAAACUGUACCACAAGAGGUUAAGGUCAAUAGAAGCAAAUGGUAAGCUAAGAGCAGAACUCGGGCAGCUUGACUGGCAUCUAGAUUGUUAACCAACCUUACUUCCUUCCAUACUUCUUCCUCCCUCCCUUCCUUCUUCCUCUCUCCCCUCUUCUCUCUCUCUCCCUUUUUUAUUUUUUAAAGACAGUCUUGCAGUCCAGCCUGGCCUGGAAUCAUGUACAGCCUGGUCAUCCUGCCUCCAUUUCUGAAGAACUAGGGUUAGAAGUAUGUGCCACGAUCCCAAACCCUCAACUUGCACAUUGUGUACAGCAGGUAUUACUAUCACCAUCCAAACAAACAACCCAAAUCAAGAAUUUAUCUGAGUAUGCACUUAAGGUGCUUAUAAAUGCAAGUGAGACUAUACAAUCCACUCAGCAGUUGUCCCUUAGUCACUCUCCACAAAGGAUUAUACGUUAUGUCCACACUGUGUAACUGCAAGUAAAGAGAACAUAAACAAAUCCAUCUGGAGAUGUUUUUGCAUAUUACUUUUUGAUUCAAAGCUUUAGUGAGUCAAAUUAGUGGUUAAAAGCCACUAAUUCUAGCACUUCAGGGGCUAAGAAGAUAAUCAUCUCUUCUUUGGAUCUGAGAGACCUUCUACCACCUUGCUUCCAAUUACCCUGAUGCCAUGAAUAGUUAGUACAGCUCCCUAUCUGUAACAUAUAGGCCAUCUAUAAAAUACUAUAAAAUGGGCAUGUGACAUAUUCAUGUAGCAGGAUACUGCAAACUAAUGAACAAACAAAAGGCAGCUGCUUGCAUUUACACAGAUAAUCCUCAAAAAUAAAUUAUCUAGGCAUAAAGAACCCAUAUAGUGUGUUGUUACUGAUAUUAAAAACAAAACAAAAUUGUGUAUUGGUGCUUUUCCUUAACACAUUGUUAUCAUGAUAAACCAUCACAAGUAUAAAAUCUAUAAGGCAUAUGCCCAUAUCUAAGUAAUUCAGAAGCAAACACAUCAAGCAUCAUUGAACUUCAGAAGUUAAAGGAAAUCUGUGAGGUCCUCUUGUUAGUUUUUUGUCAAUUUAAAACAAACUAGACUGCAAGCUGGUACAACCACUCUGGAAAUCAGUAUGGAGGUUCCUCAGAAAACUGGACCAAGCUAUAUCACUUUUGGGCAUAAAAGAUAUAACAAGGACACAUGCUCCACUAUGUUCAUAGCAGCCUUAUUUAUAAUAGUCAGAAGCUGGAAAGAAUCCAGAUGCCCUUCAACAGAGGAAUGGAUUAAAAAAUAUGUUACAUUUACACAAUGGAGUACUACUCAGCUAUUAAAAACAACUUCAUGAAAUUCUUAGGCAAACAGGUGGAACUAGAAAAUAUAAUCCUGAGUGAGGUAACCCAGUCACAAAAGAACACACAUGGUGUGCACUCACUGAUAAGUGGAUAUUAUUAGCCCAAAAGCUCAGAAUAUCCAAGAUACAACCCACAGACCACAUGAAGCGCAAGAAGUUGGAAGACCAAAGAAUGGGUGCUUUAGUCCUUCUUAGAAGGGAGAACAAAAUAUUCACAGGAAGAAAUACAGAGACAAAGUGUAGAGCAGAGACUGAGGGAAAGGUCAUCCAGAGACAGCCCCACCUGGGGAUCUAGACAAUAUUGUGGAUGCCAAGAAGUACAUGCUGACAGGAGCCUGAUAUAGCUGUCUCCUGUGAGGCUCUGCCAGACUUGAAAUAUACAGAGUUAGAUGCUCUCAACCAACCACUGGACUGAAAAUGGGGACCCUAGUGGAGGAGUUAGAAAAAGGACUGGAGGAGCUGAAGGGGUUUUCAACCCCAUAGGAAGAACAAUAUCAACCAACCAGACCCCCCCAGAGCUCCCAGAGCCUAAACCAUCAACCAAAGAGUACACAUGGAAGGACCCAGGGCUCCAGCUGCAUAUGUAGCAGAGGAUGGCCUUAUUGGGUAUCAAUGAGAGAGGCCCUUGGCACUGUGAAGACUCAAUGCCAGGGUAGGGAGAUGGGAAGGAGUGGGUGGGUGAGUCGGGGAAUACUCUCAUAGAUGCAGGGGGAGAGGGGAAGGGAUAGGGGGAUUCCAGAGGGGAAAUCGGGAAAGGGAAUAACAUUUGAAAUGUAAGUAAAGAAAAUAUCCAAUUUAAAAAAAAAAAGAAAAAAGUAACAAGUUAAAAAAAAACAAACUAGAGUCACAGGGGAAGAAGGAUGUUAAGCUGAGGAAUGGUUUCUUUCAUACUUCCUGUGGGCAUAUUGUAGUACAUUUCCUUAAAUGAUGAUUGCUACAGAAGGGCCAAAGUCCUCUAUGGUCAGUGCUUGCCUGGGCAGGUGGUUAUGAAUUGCACAAGAAAGCAAACAGUGAGCCAGUAAGCAGUGUUCUCUCAUGGUCUCUGAUUCAGUUAUUCAUAGAAGGUUUUUGCACAAGUUCCUAGCUAACUUUUCUCAGAGAUAGACUGUGAUCUAGGAGUUGUAAUAAAAAAUAAACCCUUUCCUCUCCAAUUUGGUUUUGGUCAGUAUUUUAUCACAACACAAAACUAAGACUUCCUCCAAAUCCCCCGGUUUCAACUUCCAGAAUCACAUCUUUAGAUAUUGCUCUCCAUGGAAAAAAUUAUUAACAUAAUCCCUUUAUAAUCUAAGAAAUUUGUCAAAAGGCAAAAACCAAAGUUAUAGAAAAGGAGUAGAUGGAGGAAAGACACCGAGGCCACAGGGAGUCCCUACGGAGGCAGGAAUAAUGAACUCUAGUUAGCAGGUAUAGUAUUAGCACCAAAAAGGAAAGGAUGGUGUUUUUCUCUGACAAAGGGGACAAGCUGGAGCUUUGUUUUGUACAGUGUUUGCUUUUAUAGCAAGUACACUCGUUUGCCAUUUUUGUCCUAGAUAGGUAGUCUUUACCCUGUGCUCUAGGCUCUAAUCAUCUUGCAGAGGGAGAAAGCUGAGCUUGCACCUGACUGCAGAUCUAGUCUUUCUAAUAAAAUUCAUUUGAAGAAGGGUUUGACAACUUAAUUGCCAGACAGCAGUUUUACUAUAACAUAAGCCUGAGUAGCAGACACAGAACCAAAUAGUUUCUGCCUCUCUUGGAAAUGCACUUACCAUACAAUUGGCCCACACUGAGGGCAUUAUAAAAACAACCCUAUAAACUACUGUUCUAUUUAUAGUAAAGAUAUUGUUGUGAAUGUCAAUCAAUAGUGUCUUCUUUAGAUGGACUCAGGGGAUAUUCUCUGAUCUUGAUACCAGGCCAAAUGAUACUUCCCAUGUACAAUUAGUUUGUUUUACCUUUGGGACACUGUAAAUCAGGGCACUGAUCUUGUGUCCUAAUAUGAACUGGCUUCUAGAAAGUCUAAUGCCAAAUUUGUAGCCCACAUCUAGAGAGGGCCACAUAGCUUUCCAAUCUUUCUUCAUUUGCCACUUAAACUUUCUCAAAACUAAAGUGUCAUCAAUCACACAGAGAUUGGAAAGCUUGCCUGUCAUAGGUAGGCAGUAGGGAAUAGGGUCAUGAAUACUGAGAGAACCUAAGAUUGAAAUCAAAUAUGAACCAAGCACUACUGCUCACCACAACCAAGAAAGCGAAGGCUCAAGGCAACAAUGAAUGCAUGCACUACUUGACUCAAAGGGAGAUUCCGUACUGGGUCAGAACUAGUAAUGAAUAUGAAGAUCAAUGAUAAAGCUGGGAUAUUAAAAUGCAGAAAAUGGGGUACUGGAGAGAUGGCUCAGUGGUUAAGAGCACUGACUGCUCUUCCAGGGUUCCUAUUUCCAGAGUUCAAUUCCCAGCACUCACAUGGCAGCUCACAACUGUGUAUAAUAGAAUCUCAUGUCCUCUUCUGGUGUGCAGACAGACAUUCAAAGUACUCAUAUACAUAAAAUAUAUAAAUGGAAAAUCUUUAAAAUAUAAAAAAUGAAAAUAAAAGCACAAACAAAAUUUGAAAAUAAAAAACAACUAAACUAGAGCUGGAGCUAGAGCGAGGGCUCAGCAAUUAAGAGCACUAACUGUUAUUCUGGAGGACCCAGAUUCAAGCCUUUGCAUCCACACAGCAGCUCACAACAGUUUGCAACUACUGUCCCAGGAGAUCCAACACCAUCUUCUCAGCACCAGGCAGGCAUAUGGUGUGUGUACGUACGUACGUACGUACACACACACACACACACACACACACACACACACACACACACACACACACACAUACACAUACAUACAUACAGAUGAAACAGCCACACACAUAAAA
This is a non-coding RNA of Rattus norvegicus (Norway rat), 30049 nucleotides long. The record is from RefSeq and is a predicted model, not a curated record. NCBI's taxonomy places the organism in Eukaryota, Metazoa, Chordata, Mammalia, Rodentia, Muridae.